Molecule: ribosomal RNA, 474 nt
Filed under: uncultured bacterium
Lineage: Bacteria
Description: partial 16S ribosomal RNA
Rfam family: Bacterial small subunit ribosomal RNA
Source: RNAcentral
GACGAACGCUGGCGGCGUGCUUAACACAUGCAAGUCGAACGGUAAGGCCCUUCGGGGUACACGAGUGGCGAACGGGUGAGUAACACGUGGGUAAUCUGCCCUGCACAUCGGGAUAAGCCUGGGAAACUGGGUCUAAUACCGAAUAGGACCACAGGACACAUGUCCUGUGGUGGAAAGCUUUUGCGGUGUGGGAUGGGCCCGCGGCCUAUCAGCUUGUUGGUGGGGUGAUGGCCUACCAAGGCGACGACGGGUAGCCGGCCUGAGAGGGUGUCCGGCCACACUGGGACUGAGAUACGGCCCAGACUCCUACGGGAGGCAGCAGUGGGGAAUAUUGCACAAUGGGCGAAAGACUGAUGCAGCGACGCCGCGUGGGGGAUGACGGCCUUCGGGUUGUAAACCUCUUUCACCAUCGACGAAGGUCCGGGUUUUCUCGGGCUGACGGUAGGUGGAGAAGAAGCACCGGCCAACUACGUG